This 354-nucleotide transfer-messenger RNA is filed under the name Eubacteriales bacterium. It matches the Rfam family "transfer-messenger RNA". From Rfam's summary of the family: Bacterial tmRNA, also known as 10Sa RNA or SsrA, is named for its dual tRNA and mRNA-like properties. Its role is to liberate the mRNA from a stalled ribosome. To accomplish this part of the tmRNA is used as a reading frame that ends in a translation stop signal. Lineage: Bacteria; Bacillati; Bacillota; Clostridia; Eubacteriales. The record is from RNAcentral.
GGGCUUGUACUGGUUUCGACGGGGGUUUUGAAGUUAGAGAAGCCAUCUGCGGGCCGGGACCGCACAGUAAACCGGACUUUAAAAUUAAACGCAAACAAUAACGAAGAGUUAUUAGCAGCUGCUUAAUGCUGCUUGUCGGCUUCAGGUUACUCACAGCCUGGGUGUCCGGCAUCAAAUGAUGUGAGGCCCUCUGUCUCCUAAGCUUUGCGGAGGCAGAAGAUUUUAUGAAGCUACUGAAGCUGUCAGCCCGUCAUCAGGCGGACAGGGGAGGGAAUGUCAGAAUGAUGACUGUGAUGGGAGAUGCUUUGAUGGAUAGGCUUUCGGACAGGGGUUCGAUUCCCCUCAGGUCCAUUG